CAAGGAACUAGAUUUAAGCUUUGGAGGGAUCGGAAAUUAAGGGACUGUAAGGAGGAUGUGAUUCAUACUAUUCUCCCUCUCCCCCUCCCACACACGACCGUAAGUCUCCCCGCUCGGCCUUCGGGGACGCGGCCCUGAUCUCUCCGCGGCCUGUGUCCCUGUCGCUUGCUCCUGUCGCUCCGGACCACUGUGUCUGGGGCGCCCUCCGCCUGGCUUCUCCUAGCCCCCGGGAGGAGGCGCUGGUGCCCGGGUCGGCCUCCGGUCCCUCCCAGCCGGCGUCCUGGAGCCCCCAUUCACAAAGCUCGGCUUGGAGGAGGCGACACACACACACACACACACACACACACACACACAGCUCGGCUUGGAGGAGGCGACACACACACACACACACACACACACACACACACACACACACACACACAGCGAAGAGGGGAGUUUGAUCUUGUCUCAUUGGCGUCUCGGGCCUGAAAAGGAAAAUCGUUUGGGUAAACAGCCAAGCUUCCAGGCUUAACGCCCGGCUCCCGCCCCCGCCCCUCCGCCCCCUCCCGCCUCCCCCACUCCCCUUCAACCCCACCCGCCACCCACACUCCGCUCCGCAGCCGGGCCCCGAGCGAGCUCCGCGCGCCCGGGCGGGAGCCGAGGGCUCCCCGGGUUCAAAGGGCCGCAGCCCCGAGGGAAUGCCCUCCUCGCUGUGCCCCGGGGGGCAGAAGCGGACUGCAGGGCGGUGGGACCGGCCUGGGCCACGGGCCAGCCCAGCACUGCAGCUUUGCGAACUCCUGGGGCUUAGAGCAAGGAAUGGAGGGAAGCCGGGCAGAGAAGGCGGCCUCAUACACCUGCCGCCCCGCGGCACCACGAGCCUCCACCUGGGACCCGCUGCAGCCAGAACACCACAAGACCUGGGAACUUACGCCGGUUCCUCACCCGCCUCCUUGUCCCCCAGGGAGUGCGAGCUGUAGAGCAGUGGAGACAUCUGUAAGUGAGGGCCAAGCACCGACACGCACAACUUUGCAAAGUCAGUUUAACCAGCGAGCUUUUUACCCACUUUAUUCCCUCCCUCAUUUUUGAUUUCAAUAUUGAUAACAUGCCCACCGUUUCACAUCUUUAUGGUAAUAGUGGCAAAUGAAUUCAUUUAACGACUUGGGGGCCGGGCGGGAGCGUUUCAAGCGUUCAGCGGAGGAUAACUUCCCAGGGCAACUUCUCCCUAGGACCCUCCCACAUCCCCUCUUAAUGGUGGGACUUUUCAUAAUGUGCACAAUACUAUUAAAAUUUCAUAUUAGC
Molecule: long non-coding RNA, 1278 nt
Filed under: Zalophus californianus (California sea lion)
Lineage: Eukaryota; Metazoa; Chordata; Mammalia; Carnivora; Otariidae
Description: lncRNA (ENSZCAG00015012786.1)
Source: RNAcentral